GUCUGGUCUGCCUGCGCCGGCACUCCGUGAAGCUGGUGACUUUCCUCGGCAAGGGAGGCUCCAGCAAGACCACAUCGGCAGCUGUUGUCGGUCAGGCCCAGGGCUGUUAUGAAGGCUGGGAGGCACUGUGAUUGUUGUUGUGCGUGUGGGUGUCGCAACAACAGCUGGAGCGAGCUCGUGAGCAGACACGUCGCUGGAAAGUUCAACCACACAUGACAUUAGAAAUGGAUGUUCCUUAUCAUACCAAAAGUG
Triticum aestivum (bread wheat) is the source of this 252-nucleotide long non-coding RNA. RefSeq lists it as uncharacterized. The transcript is spliced from 3 exons. Lineage: Eukaryota; Viridiplantae; Streptophyta; Magnoliopsida; Poales; Poaceae. The record is from RefSeq and is a predicted model, not a curated record.